GGUCAAUAGCCUAACGGCUGAACCAGCAACUUGGAAGAAUGGAUUAUUUGUAUAUAUACAAUAUUAACUAUGUUAAAUAAAGUUCUAGGUAGAAUUAUGAUAAUGACAUAUUUUAUCUAUAAGUCUUGACCAAGUCACGUGCCAGCAGUCGCGGUAAUACGUGGAAGACUAGUGUUAUUCAUCUUUAAUAGGUUUAAAGGGUACCUAGACAGUUAAUUAAGCCUAAAAGGCACUGAUUAACUAGAGUUUAAUAUAAGAAGGAGAGUACGGUGAGUGUAGAGAUAAAAUUCGAUAAUACCAUUUAGAAACUGGUAAUGGCGAAAGCAACCUUUUAUGUAAAAACUGACGUUGAGGUACGAAGGCUCGAUAAAGUAACAGGAUUAGAUACCCUAGUAUUGUGAGCAGACAAUGAUGAAUGUCAUAUAUAAGAUUAUAUUUUAUAUAUAAAUGAAAGUGUAAACAUUCCACCUCAAGAGUAAUACGGCAAGGUAGGAACUGAAAUCAUUAGACCGUUUCUGAAACCAGUAGUGGAGUAUGUUGUUUAAUUUGAUAACCCACGUAAAACCUUACCACAACUUGAAUAUUUAUAAUUUAUUUAUAAUUACAGGAGUUGCACGGCUGUCUAAAGUUAAUGUCGUGAGAUUAUGGUUAGUUCCAUUAAAUUAACGUAAACCCUUACUUUAUUUUUUAUAAAGUAGUUCGCCAUUAUAUUGGUAAUGAUAUAAGGGAUUAAGACAAGUCAUCAUGGCCUUAAUGUUGUGGGC
RNAcentral lists this ribosomal RNA (764 nucleotides) under Phlyctis petraea. RNAcentral describes it as "SSU rRNA". It matches the Rfam family "Bacterial small subunit ribosomal RNA", at positions 366 to 1214 of the family's 1533-position model. Lineage: Eukaryota; Fungi; Ascomycota; Lecanoromycetes; Phlyctidaceae. The record is from RNAcentral.